Molecule: non-coding RNA, 297 nt
Organism: Pelobates cultripes (western spadefoot toad)
Lineage: Eukaryota; Metazoa; Chordata; Amphibia; Anura; Pelobatidae
Source: the annotation of a GenBank genome assembly
CUCCUCCUCUGCCUUCACCUUGUGCUUCCACUGAGCCCCCUGUGUCAGUUGGGAAUGCCCUCAGCAGCGUGUCAACCAGCGUGCGCUUUUAGUCGCGCAUUGUCCGAUCACGCUCCAGUGAGGGAAUUAAGGACGGCACGUUGUCCUUGUAAUGGGGAUCCAGCAGGGUGGCCACCCAGUAAUCAGCACAAGUUAGAAUGUGGACAACUCAGCAGUCGUUGCGCAGGCACUGCAGCAUGUAGUCGCUCAUGUGUGCCAGGCUGCCCAGAGGCAAGGACAAGCUGUCCUCUGUGUUAG